This is a non-coding RNA of Bombyx mori (domestic silkworm), 83 nucleotides long. The record is from Rfam. NCBI's taxonomy places the organism in Eukaryota, Metazoa, Arthropoda, Insecta, Lepidoptera, Bombycidae.
UUAACUCAAAUUUGUAUGGAGUUGGAACGUUUGCCUACGUUUGCCGCUAGGGGCGCUGUUCCAACUGCUCAAAAUUUGAGUUA